GAUGAACGCUGGCGGCGUGCCUAAUACAUGCAAGUCGAGCGAAAAGACGAGGAGCUUGCUCCUCUGACGUUAGCGGCGGACGGGUGAGUAACACGUGGAUAACCUACCUAUAAGACUGGGAUAACUUCGGGAAACCGGAGAUAAUACCGGAUAAUCUAUUGAACGGCAUGGUUUAAUAGUGAAAGACGGUUUUGCUGGCACUUAUAGAUGGAUACCCGCCGCAUUAGGUAGUGGGUAAGGUAACGGCUUACGAAGGCGCCGAUGCGUAGCCGACCUGAUAGAGUGAUAGCCCGCCUUGGAGGUGAGACACGGACCAGGGGCCUGCGGGAGGCAGCAGUAGGGAAUCGGCCGCAGUGGUCGAGAGCCUGACGGAGCAACGCCGCGUGAGUGAUGAAGGUGCUCGGAGCGUAAUACUCGGUUUUUAGUUAAGAACAGAUGUGUAAGUAACUAUGCACGGCGUGACGGUACCGAGUCAGAAAGCCACGGCUAACUACGUG
This 497-nucleotide ribosomal RNA is filed under the name uncultured bacterium. RNAcentral describes it as "partial 16S ribosomal RNA". It matches the Rfam family "Bacterial small subunit ribosomal RNA", at positions 28 to 507 of the family's 1533-position model. The record is from RNAcentral.